UACGUAGGGGGCUAGCGUUGUCCGGAAUCAUUGGGCGUAAAGCGCGUGUAGGCGGUCCGGUAAGUCCGCUGUGAAAGUCGGGGGCUCAACCCUCGAAUGCCGGUGGAUACUGUCGGGCUAGAGUGCGGAAGAGGCGAGUGGAAUUCCUGGUGUAGCGGUGAAAUGCGCAGAUAUCAGGAGGAACACCGGUGGCGAAGGCGGCGACCUGGGCCAAUACUGACGCUGAGGUGCGAAAGCGUGGGGAGCAAACAGG
This 253-nucleotide ribosomal RNA is filed under the name uncultured bacterium. RNAcentral's name for it is "partial 16S ribosomal RNA". It matches the Rfam family "Bacterial small subunit ribosomal RNA", at positions 524 to 776 of the family's 1533-position model. The record is from RNAcentral.